GCCGCUGGCGGUAGGCCUAACACAUGCAAGUCGAACGGCAGCACAGGAGAGCUUGCUCUCUGGGUGGCGAGUGGCGGACGGGUGAGGAAUACAUCGGAAUCUACUUUUUCGUGGGGGAUAACGUAGGGAAACUUACGCUAAUACCGCAUACGACCUACGGGUGAAAGCAGGGGAUCUUCGGACCUUGCGCGAUUGAAUGAGCCGAUGUCGGAUUAGCUAGUUGGCGGGGUAAAGGCCCACCAAGGCGACGAUCCGUAGCUGGUCUGAGAGGAUGAUCAGCCACACUGGAACUGAGACACGGUCCAGACUCCUACGGGAGGCAGCAGUGGGGAAUAUUGGACAAUGGGCGCAAGCCUGAUCCAGCCAUACCGCGUGGGUGAAGAAGGCCUUCGGGUUGUAAAGCCCUUUUGUUGGGAAAGAAAUCCAGCUGGCUAAUACCCGGUUGGGAUGACGGUACCCAAAGAAUAAGCACCGGCUAACUUCGUGCCAGCAGCCGCGGUAAUACGAAAGGGUGCAAGCGNUACUCGGAAUUACUGGGCCGUAAAGCGUCCGUAGGUNGGUCGUUUAAGUCCGUUGNGAAAGCCCUGGGCUCAACCUGGGAACUGNAGNGGAUACUGGNCGNCUAGAGUNUGUAGAGGNUACCGGAAUUCCUGG
RNAcentral lists this ribosomal RNA (654 nucleotides) under uncultured bacterium SE-43. RNAcentral's name for it is "bacterial SSU rRNA". It matches the Rfam family "Bacterial small subunit ribosomal RNA", at positions 32 to 673 of the family's 1533-position model. The record is from RNAcentral.